UGAAUAUCUUCAGAAAAUCAGAAAACACGGAACGUAAACCAUCAAUCAUUGCAGCUUUAUACGUUUGUAGUUGAUAAAUGUCAUAAUCUUGAGAGUAGUUGCUACAGUAAAACAGUACAUGGAGUAGUUGCUAUAGUAAAACAGUACUUGGAGUAGUUGCUAUAGUAAAACAGUACAUGGAGUAGUUGCUAUAG
This is a long non-coding RNA of Haliotis rubra (blacklip abalone), 194 nucleotides long. RefSeq lists it as uncharacterized. The transcript has 2 exons. NCBI's taxonomy places the organism in Eukaryota, Metazoa, Mollusca, Gastropoda, Lepetellida, Haliotidae. The record is from RefSeq and is a predicted model, not a curated record.